Molecule: ribosomal RNA, 253 nt
Filed under: uncultured bacterium
Lineage: Bacteria
Description: partial 16S ribosomal RNA
Rfam family: Bacterial small subunit ribosomal RNA
Source: RNAcentral
UACGAAGGGGGCUAGCGUUGCUCGGAACCACUGGGCGUAAAGGGUGCGUAGGCGGGUUUUUAAGUCAGGGGUGAAAUCCUGGAGCUCAACUCCAGAACUGCCUUUGAUACUGAAAAUCUUGAGUCCGGGAGAGGUGAGUGGAACUGCGAGUGUAGAGGUGAAAUUCGUAGAUAUUCGCAAGAACACCAGUGGCGAAGGCGGCUCACUGGCCCGGUACUGACGCUGAGGCACGAAAGCGUGGGGAGCAAACAGG